AACCAUUCUCACCUGCGGCUAGACCUGCGGAAGGAUCAUUACUGAGUGAGGGCCUUCGGGCUCGACCUCCAACCCUUUGUGAACACAACUUGUUGCUUCGGGGGCGACCCUGCCGUUUCGACGGCGAGCGCCCCCGGAGGCCUUCAAACACUGCAUCUUUGCGUCGGAGUUUAAGUAAAUUAAACAAAACUUUCAGCAAUGGAUCU
Molecule: unclassified non-coding RNA, 206 nt
Filed under: soil metagenome
Description: partial contains 5.8S ribosomal RNA, internal transcribed spacer 2, and large subunit ribosomal RNA
Source: RNAcentral